GCAUAUCAAUAAGGCGGGAGAAA
RNAcentral lists this ribosomal RNA (23 nucleotides) under Bombyx mori (domestic silkworm). RNAcentral's name for it is "partial 28S ribosomal RNA". The record is from RNAcentral. Lineage: Eukaryota; Metazoa; Arthropoda; Insecta; Lepidoptera; Bombycidae.